Molecule: ribosomal RNA, 497 nt
Filed under: uncultured bacterium
Lineage: Bacteria
Description: partial 16S ribosomal RNA
Rfam family: Bacterial small subunit ribosomal RNA
Source: RNAcentral
GAUGAACGCUGGCGGCGUGCCUAAUACAUGCAAGUCGAGCGAACAGACGAGGAGCUUGCUCCUCUGACGUUAGCGGCGGACGGGUGAGUAACACGUGGAUAACCUACCUAUAAGACUGGGAUAACUUCGGGAAACCGGAGCUAAUACCGGAUAAUAUAUUGAACCGCAUGGUUCAAUAGUGAAAGACGGUUUUGCUGUCACUUAUAGAUGGAUCCGCGCCGCAUUAGCUAGUUGGUAAGGUAACGGCUUACCAAGGCAACGAUGCGUAGCCGACCUGAAAGGGUGAGCGGCCACAAUGGCAAUGAGAAACGGCCCAGACCCCUACGGGAGGAAGAAGUAGGGAAUCCUCCGCAACGGGCGAAAGCCUGACGGAGCAACGCCGCGUGAGUGAUGAAGGUCUUCGGAUCGUAAAACUAUGUUAUUAGGGAAGAACAAAUGUGUAAGUAACUAUGCACGUCUUAACGGUACCUAAUCAGAAAGCCACGGCUAACUACGUG